This is a non-coding RNA of Manis javanica (Malayan pangolin), 2664 nucleotides long. NCBI's taxonomy places the organism in Eukaryota, Metazoa, Chordata, Mammalia, Pholidota, Manidae. The record is from RefSeq and is a predicted model, not a curated record.
UCUAUCUUCAUAACUUUAGUAAAUCUAAAAUUAAUGUUGUUCUCUCUCUAAUCUAGCAUCCUUGUAAUUCAUUUACCCAUUUAUUCUCCAGAUAUCUGGUCAGCAUCCUGAGAACCAACUCUGGGACUCUAAGAUUUCCAUGCAGGAGAAUAAAUGACAAAUGGGAAAACUACAUCUAUCACAAGAAGUGCAAAGGGUCUGAGAUUCUGCCCUACUUGUCAGCUAACAAGUUAGCCUGCUGUGGUUUCACAGAUGCUGGCAGAAGACAUGAACUUCUUGGGUCAGAGACAAAGUACUUUAUUAAUUGUUGCACAACAAGGAACAUGAGCUUCACGUUUGUACAAUUAUUCUUGUCCUUCCACGUGCCACAGGGGUGUCAUGGAACAGCCUAUGUGGAUAAAUGUGCAGUGGGUUUGUGUUCCUGCUGAGGAACUCUUAAGCUUAAGAAACCCCAAAAUUUCAUAGUGGAUUGCAAGCAAAUCUGCACAAACUUUACCCUAGCCUUAUAUUUGCCAUUGUUAUUAUGCUUGACUUUCAUGGUUCUUAAGAUUGUAGCAUAAUUAUCCAUUUUCUUUGAAGUCAGUUCACUUUUGUAAUCACUUGAUGUUGCUCUUGCUUUAGGAAAGAAAUAAUUUUAAGACCACAUUAAUUAUGUUGCAGCAGCAAUUGUGUAGGAGUGUCAUGCUGGUACAGUUUGUAUUUAUAGUGUAUUUCUGUUCUUUCCAUAAGUAUGCUACAGGCUCAUUCACAGCAAUGAUUUAGGCACCCAACAUCCAAGUUUUUCUUUGCUCUUCUGCCUUUUCCCAUUCAUUCUCUCCUCAUCUCCACUGUCUUUUUCACUACCCUAUUGCGUCUCUAGACUAGGACUGGUUCAUGUCUUUCUGCAGAGGGAUCGCAGACUGUAUUUCACAGUGAAAUUUCACAGUGCAAUUGAAUCUGAGGGUGUUAAAGUCUGCUUAACCUACAGCUGCUCAUGACUCUUCCUAUCAAAAGGAGCAUUAAAAAAAUUGUGGCAUAAAUUUAAGAUUGUCAGACAGAUGAGGGUUCAUUCAGCCUUAAAAAAAUAUCUUACUUGCUACAACAGUUUCCAUUUGAGUACCAGAAAGCACCAGAGAUCUUUGGGUCACAUGUUAAUUUUGUAUUAAAAGAUCAAUCUCCACACUCUUUGAUUUUACUGAGGCCCAGAUGAAUCCCAUCCCCUUGACUGUGGCUUGCAUUCCAUGAAAAUUUGCAUGCCUUUUAUGAUUUUCCUGCCUUUUUCAUGGAUAUAUUUUAAAAUCAUUGUGGUCUAAGUGUUUAAUUCUGGAAGAAACGAAGUGAUAAAGAGCUGGAAUUGCUUUAUAUCCUACCAUCUGUUUUACCGUUUGUCUUCUGUAAUGAGAACAUUAAGUUGAGCUUCCCUCCCUACUUCUCUUUAAGGUUCUGAUUUAGGGCACACUAGCAGGAGAUGAACCAUAUGUAGGGCUUUCCGGACAGUAAGGGUUAGUUGCCAAAUCUUUUAUGAUGGCCAUCUCCUGAGCAAUAAGUUAUACAGGAGGGCAGUUCAUUGAUCUUUUUUUCCAAUUUGUGUACAAACUAAUAGUUAAACAUUUGUGACUAUACAAGGUGGUAAAAUGAAAUUACCUAUGGCAUAGGUGCAAAGCUACAUUUGGAAGGGGUUUCCCUGUGUUUGCUUAUUUGGGGUACUAUCAAGCUGGUUAAUGUUUUAAGAAUAGUUUAGAAGGGAAACAAGGGAAAAUCUGGAAAAAUCUGAUUUCUAAGCAUCUCUUCACUAGGGGUAUACAGCAGGCUGUGGGUUUUUACUUUAGGCAUAUGAACACCAAAAGAAGACUUGUUGGAUACUAUAAAAUAGCCAAUUUCUCCAUCUGGUUUUCAAUAUGGAUAAAGAUUUGCUGCAAGUCUGGAUUGAAUGCAUGUCUCAGUUAGUUUAUAAUACAAAUAUGGAGGGUCUUUUAAUUACAGAACUUGAAGUGUGAUCCAAAGAAUUAAACUCUCUUCAGCUAAGUAUUCAGCAAGAAUGGGGUAGAGAUAAGAGCAAUAUGAUUUUAUUUAUAAUUUGCUCUACAUAAUUUCUAAAAGUGAUUUUUUUACAUCCUCAAGAAACUGGCAAAGAAUAGAAAAAUCUUAGGCCCAGUCACUUGUGUUAGAAUUGAAAUUGGGCUAAUAAAGAAGACUCUUUGAAUCUGGUAUUCCUUCCUUUGAGGAAGUUAUUUUAACAAAACAACCUAUGUUUUUAUUUUUUAAAAGGGACAAAAUAUUUAUCAUUUUUGAGAUAUAAUCGACAUAUUAGUUUCAGGUGUACAAAAUAAUUUGGUAUGUGUGCAGCAAAAUCAUAACAGUAAGUCUAACAUCCAUCACUACACAUAGUUCAAAUCUUUUUUCUUGUGAGAACUUUUAAGCUUUACUCUCUUAAUAACUUUAUAUAUCUCAAUCUACCUAUACACAUAUAUACAAUGCAAUAUUAUUAACUGCAGUCACCAUGCUUUACAUUGCAUCAUCAGGACUUAUUUAUAAUUGGAGGUUUGUUCCUUUGACCACCUUUACCCAUUUUGUCCCCCCCUUGCCCACAUCUCUUCUUUGUGUCUGUAUUUUUUUCUUAAAGAUUCCACACAUAAGUGAGAUACUUUAUUUUUUUCUGUCUGACUUAUUUCACUUAGCAUAAUG